GCGUGCGGCGGCGGCUCAGUAGCAGCAGCAGCAACAGUGCGGCCAGGAGGCCGAGGAGCGCGGCCCAAGCCAUCGCGGGGCUGGCGGGGCUGGCGGGGCUGGCGGGGCUGGCGGCCUGGCCCACUCCCAGGCUGACAGGACAUCCAACCCUCUGGCUAUGGCAUCUUGGAGGAACAGGCAGGCCUUGAAAAUAGCAGAAAUUCCGAAUUCCCCUGCCCCGGGAGGACUCAAAGGACCCUGCUGAGGACAGAGCUGAUAUGGCCUCAGAAUAAAGAUGAGGGAAGACCAUCCCAAGGAAGACCCCUCUAGCCCAUGGCAAAAGGGCUGGAAUACGCAAGGAUUUGAAAAGCAAGUUUUGCUUUCCAUAUAAACCUAAGCAAGUCGCUUAAUCUGUGAGCCUCAACUACUUUACUUGUGCAAUGGGCAUGUUGCUGGUAGUGGUGAUAGCAGGGAGCCACCGAGAGAGCUUCCAAGUGUGCCAUCUAAGCCCUCCUCUGGGGAAGGGAAGCUCCUCUGGGGAAGGGAAACUGGACCCCCGGGAAAAUUUAUUCUCCCAGGGACGAACAUCCAGACAUUUCCCUGUAGGAGCCUCAGUGUGUUCAGAUGUUCACUGUCCAGUAGAAACAAGACAUCUAGGCAACUCUCCCAUCUCACCAAGCCUCUGCUCUCUUCUGUGGCCACUGUGGGGUUGUGAGAGUAAUGUCAAGACCCAACCCAAUUAGAACACAGGGAAUUUUGCCUGGGAAAGGGAGCCCUUCUACCCUACACCCCUGCUUUCUCUCUUCCAAGGAUCAGGUCUGAUUCAUGUCUGCAUCCUAAAGGCUACAAAUAAACUGUGUCCGGAAAGGAAAA
This is a long non-coding RNA of Homo sapiens (human), 852 nucleotides long. RefSeq lists it as uncharacterized. Lineage: Eukaryota; Metazoa; Chordata; Mammalia; Primates; Hominidae. The record is from RefSeq and is a predicted model, not a curated record. The transcript has 2 exons.